UACGAAGGGGGCGAGCGUUGUUCGGAUUUACUGGGCGUAAAGGGCGCGCAGGCGGCUCAUUUUGUCAGGCGUGAAAGCCCCGGGCUUAACCUGGGAACUGCGUUUGAUACGGAUGGGCUAGAGUUCGGGAGAGGAGCGUGGAAUUCCCAGUGUAGAGGUGAAAUUCGUAGAUAUUGGGAAGAACACCGGUGGCGAAGGCGGCGCUCUGGACCGAGACUGACGCUGAGGCGCGAAAGCGUGGGGAGCGAACAGG
This 253-nucleotide ribosomal RNA is filed under the name uncultured bacterium. RNAcentral's name for it is "partial 16S ribosomal RNA". It matches the Rfam family "Bacterial small subunit ribosomal RNA", at positions 524 to 776 of the family's 1533-position model. The record is from RNAcentral.